RNAcentral lists this unclassified non-coding RNA (802 nucleotides) under Hevea brasiliensis (rubber tree). Lineage: Eukaryota; Viridiplantae; Streptophyta; Magnoliopsida; Malpighiales; Euphorbiaceae. The record is from RNAcentral.
GAAGGAUGACUCAAGAGGCACAUUUCCACAAGUCACCACCCCAGAAACCUUGACAUAUUCGCCAUUUUUGGCUGUUCUUAGUUCAGAAUCUGGAUAGCGGGUAAUAAAACGAACUAUAGCACUUCCACCCCAGCAAGAGUUCCAUAGGAACAAUGCAGCAACAAUGCCAAAUAGAACCACAACAACAAUGACCAGAAUAGCAUUGUGCACAGCUGCAAGAAUAAAUCCCCCGGCAAUAAAUCCCAUGAGAAAUAACAAAACCAUUGCCCAGAGGAUAGGUUUAGGGAAGCUCCUCUUGAAGGAAUACACAUCAUUUUGAUUGAGAGUGGUGACAGCCUGGCUGUUAACAAGAGAAGGGGCAUGAAUCUUUGCUGAAUCCAAGGGACCUGAGAUUUUUCUUGGGGCCCCAGAGGAAUUGAGAGGGCCAGAAGAGAUAGGACCAGAAGUAAUAAGACCUGUUGCAGGGAGAAGUGGUGGUUGGGGACCUGAGUUUUGGCGGCCAGUUGGUGUGACACCUCCAGAUUGAGGACCGGAUGAUUUUUUUAUAGGCUCACCAUGCUUGGUAAGGGGGCCAGAAUUAGAUUUCUUAGUCGAAAGUGAAGCAGGCAUCCCUGAGGAUGAUAUGGGACCUGAGGUUGAAUAGCUAGUCCUAGCAGAAGGAGUAUUAGAAUUGAUAGGUCCUGAAUGUGAUGUUCUGGAAGGUGCAGUUGUUAUGGGGGCAGAUUUCCUGGAUUUGGAGCCAUCGACAGGGAUAUCAAACAUUUUUCCAAGCUCUCCCGACUUCUUAAUGUCACCACCAGUA